AUUGAACGCUGGCGGCAUGCCUUACACAUGCAAGUCGAACGGCAUCGCGGGAAAGCUUGCUUUCCUGGCGUCGAGUGGCGCACGGGUGAGUAACACAUCGGAACGUACUGGCUGGUGGGGGAUAACUCGUCGAAAGACGGGCUAAUACCGCAUACGCUCUUCGGAGGAAAGCAGGGGACCUUUGGGCCUUGCGCUAGCCGAGCGGCCGAUGUCCGAUUAGCUAGUUGGUGGGGUAAAGGCCUACCAAGGCGACGAUCGGUAGCGGGUCUGAGAGGACGAUCCGCCACACUGGAACUGAGACACGGCCCAGACUCCUACGGGAGGCAGCAGUGGGGAAUCUUGGACAAUGGGGGCAACCCUGAUCCAGCAAUGCCGCGUGAGUGAAGAAGGCCUUCGGGUUGUAAAGCCCUUUCGGCAGGGAAGAAAUCGGCUGGGCGAAUAACCCUGCUGGAUGACGGUACCUGCAGAAGAAGCACCGGCUAACUACGUG
Molecule: ribosomal RNA, 490 nt
Filed under: uncultured bacterium
Lineage: Bacteria
Description: partial 16S ribosomal RNA
Rfam family: Bacterial small subunit ribosomal RNA
Source: RNAcentral